This 427-nucleotide ribosomal RNA is filed under the name uncultured bacterium. RNAcentral describes it as "bacterial SSU rRNA". It matches the Rfam family "Bacterial small subunit ribosomal RNA", at positions 355 to 774 of the family's 1533-position model. The record is from RNAcentral.
UAGGGGAUAUUGGACAAUGGGGGCAACCCUGAUCCAGCCAUGCCGCGUGAGUGAAGAAGGCCCUCGGGUUGUAAAGCUCUUUUGUCCGGAAAGAAAAGCUUCGGGUUAAUACCCCGGGGUUCUGACGGUACCGGAAGAAUAAGCACCGGCUAACUUCGUGCCAGCAGCCGCGGUAAUACGAAGGGUGCAAGCGUUACUCGGAAUUACUGGGCGUAAAGCGUGCGUAGGUGGUUGUUUAAGUCUGAUGUGAAAGCCCUGGGCUCAACCUGGGAAUGGCAUUGGAAACUGGGCAGCUAGAGUGCGGUAGUGGGUAGUGGAAUUCCCGGUGUAGCAGUGAAAUGCGUAGAGAUCGGGAGGAACAUCUGUGGCGAAGGCGACUGCCUGGACCAGCACUGACACUGAGGCACGAAAGCGUGGGGAGCAAACA